Molecule: long non-coding RNA, 398 nt
Filed under: Mytilus galloprovincialis (Mediterranean mussel)
Lineage: Eukaryota; Metazoa; Mollusca; Bivalvia; Mytilida; Mytilidae
Source: RNAcentral
GGCAGUAUAAAACUAAACAUUUUCAUCACUAAAUAAAAAUACAAAUUUAUCGUCAUCUGACAUAUUACUAAAAUCAUGACAAAAAGAAUUAGCAUGACUAAACAACACAGCACGAACAUCUGCAUAUAGUGGACAUUUCAAAAUUACAUGUUUCUAAUCUUCAAUGGUAUCAUUACAACUAAAACAUAUUCUUUCAUUAAUAGGUAAGUUCUGAUACCGGCCCGUUUCAAUUUUUAGGGGCGCAACACCACAACGAAAUUUUGCAAAAGCACUAUAUAUAUGUGUGUGACGAAUAGAUAACAACUGUCAUAUUUCUGACUCAGUACUGGCAGUUUCCAGUUUUGAAAAUGGUGGAUUGAACCUGGUUUUAUAGCGCUUAAUCUCACACGUGUAUGACA